This 431-nucleotide ribosomal RNA is filed under the name uncultured bacterium. RNAcentral describes it as "partial 16S ribosomal RNA". It matches the Rfam family "Bacterial small subunit ribosomal RNA", at positions 29 to 507 of the family's 1533-position model. The record is from RNAcentral.
AACGAACGCUGGCGGCAGGCUUAACACAUGCAAGUCGAGCGCCCCGCAGGGGGAGCGGCCGACGGGUGAGUAACGCGUGGGAACGUACCUUUUGGUUCGGAACAACUCCGGGAAACUGGAGCUAAUACCGGAUAAGCCCUAACGGGGAAAGAUUUAUCGCCGAAAGAUCGGCCCGCGUCUGAUUAGCUAGUUGGUGAGGUAACGGCUCACCAAGGCGACGAUCAGUAGCUGGUCUGAGAGGAUGAUCAGCCACACUGGGACUGAGACACGGCCCAGACUCCUACGGGAGGCAGCAGUGGGGAAUAUUGGACAAUGGGCGCAAGCCUGAUCCAGCCAUGCCGCGUGAGUGAUGAAGGCCUUAGGGUUGUAAAGCUCUUUUGUCCGGGAAGAUAAUGACUGUACCGGAAGAAUAAGCCCCGGCUAACUUCGUG